ACCUGGCUGGCUCAGUCAGUAGAGCAUGGAGCUCUUGACCUUGGGGUUGUGAGUUCAAGCCCCACGUUGGGUA
RNAcentral lists this transfer RNA (73 nucleotides) under Ailuropoda melanoleuca (giant panda). It matches the Rfam family "tRNA". From Rfam's summary of the family: Transfer RNA (tRNA) molecules are approximately 80 nucleotides in length. Their secondary structure includes four short double-helical elements and three loops (D, anti-codon, and T loops). The record is from Rfam by way of RNAcentral. Lineage: Eukaryota; Metazoa; Chordata; Mammalia; Carnivora; Ursidae.